This 458-nucleotide ribosomal RNA is filed under the name uncultured bacterium. Its description in RNAcentral is "bacterial SSU rRNA". It matches the Rfam family "Bacterial small subunit ribosomal RNA", at positions 29 to 528 of the family's 1533-position model. The record is from RNAcentral.
AGCGAACGCUGGCGGCAGGCUUAACACAUGCAAGUCGAACGGGCGUAGCAAUACGUCAGUGGCAGACGGGUGAGUAACGCGUGGGAACGUACCUUUUGGUUCGGAACAACACAGGGAAACUUGUGCUAAUACCGGAUAAGCCCUUACGGGGAAAGAUUUAUCGCCGAAAGAUCGGCCCGCGUCUGAUUAGCUAGUUGGUGAGGUAACGGCUCACCAAGGCGACGAUCAGUAGCUGGUCUGAGAGGAUGAUCAGCCACAUUGGGACUGAGACACGGCCCAAACUCCUACGGGAGGCAGCAGUGGGGAAUAUUGGACAAUGGGCGCAAGCCUGAUCCAGCCAUGCCGCGUGAGUGAUGAAGGCCCUAGGGUUGUAAAGCUCUUUUGUGCGGGAAGAUAAUGACGGUACCGCAAGAAUAAGCCCCGGCUAACUUCGUGCCAGCAGCCGCGGUAAAGUCUGU